CCUACGGGGAGCUGCAGUGGGGGAUAUUGCACAAUGGGGGAAACCCUGAUGCAGCGACGCCGCGUGUGGGAAGACGGUCUUCUGGAUUGUAAACCACUGUCCCCAGGGACGAAAAUGACGGUACCUGGGGAGGAAGCUCCGGCUAACUACGUGCCAGCAGCCGCGGUAAUACGUAGGGAGCAAGCGUUGUCCGGAAUUACUGGGUGUAAAGGGAGCGUAGGCGGGGAUGCAAGUUGGGUGUCAAAACUACCGGCUCAACCGAUAGUCGCACUCAAAACUGCAGCUCUUGAGUGAAGUAGAGGCAGGCGGAAUUCCUAGUGUAGCGGUGAAAUGCGUAGAUAUUAGGAGGAACACCAGUGGCGAAGGCGGCCUGCUGGGCUUUUACUGACGCUGAGGCUCGAAAGUGUGGGGAGCAAACAGGAUUAGAUACCCUUGUAGUC
This 440-nucleotide ribosomal RNA is filed under the name uncultured bacterium. RNAcentral describes it as "partial 16S ribosomal RNA". It matches the Rfam family "Bacterial small subunit ribosomal RNA", at positions 338 to 795 of the family's 1533-position model. The record is from RNAcentral.